GUGGGGAAUCUUCCGCAAUGGACGAAAGUCUGACGGAGCAACGUCGCGUGAGUGAAGAAGGUUUUCGGAUCGUAAAGCUCUUUCGUUAGGGACGAACGUGCUCUUUGUGAAUAAUGAGGAGUAAUGACGGUACCUAAAUAAGAAGCCACGGCUAACUACGUGCCAGCAGCCGCGGUAAUACGUAGGUGGCAAGCGUUGUCCGGAAUUAUUGGGCGUAAAGCGCGCGCAGGCGGGAUAUCAAGUCUGUCUUAAAAGUGCGAGGCUCAACCUCGUGAGGGGACAGAAACUGGUAUUCUUGAGUGUCGGAGAGGAAAGUGGAAUUCCAAGUGUAGCGGUGAAAUGCGUAGAGAUUUGGAAGAACACCAGUGGCGAAGGCGACUUUCUGGACGAUGUCUGACGCUGAGGCGCGAAAGCUAGGGGAGCGAACGGGAUUAGAUACCCUUGUAGUCC
This 450-nucleotide ribosomal RNA is filed under the name uncultured bacterium. RNAcentral describes it as "partial 16S ribosomal RNA". It matches the Rfam family "Bacterial small subunit ribosomal RNA", at positions 354 to 796 of the family's 1533-position model. The record is from RNAcentral.